GCAAUUUCCACUGAAAGAUGCCCAGCAGGAGCCAGCUCAGUCCUGAAAAGGCGCUCAGUCAUCAGAACCAGAGCAGGUGCAGCCCUGCCUGCCACUGUGCAGCAAAUGUGUGAGGGCUCCCAGCCGCAGCCUACCUUAUGAGCUCGAUCACCGGGUCCCAGAGCGCGCUGAAGUUGACGUACAGCAUGCCCAGCAGCACCCAAAAUUAAACAGAAGAAUCACCGUAACAAACAGCACCUGAAGUCAUUCCAGAUGUUCAUUUGACUAAAAAUUAAAUUCCACUCUAAGAAACACCUGCUCAAACAUGCUAGGCAAGUGCCUCACCUGGGAAAAGUCUUCAAAACUAUACUUUAAAAAAGUUUGUUCAGGAUUGGGAUUCCUACUUGUUUCACAUAAUGGAAACCUGACAUACGCAAACCAAGAAAAUAAUGAGGAAGAAGGCUAAGACUCAACUUUCAAAGUGGUUUUGUUAGGAAACAUAGUGCUUUACUCUUGGCUUAUUAUAGAUAGAUGAGCUAGGCAGAAAUAUUAUAGGCAGUCAGAUAGGGCUGAGUCCUCGGGAGGGCCAGGACAAGGUGAAACACAGCACAGCUGCACAUCGGCUGAAAACCAGGCCUCAAGAUGGAGACAAGACGACCAGACCCACAUACUUCUUCAAAGAACUGGGCUCAGCAAAGUACAGAUAGGCAUCGACCACCCUGGGGGUGGCCAGAGACCUCUGGACCCGCUGGCCCCUAGGAGAAUCCUUGUUCUUUCAUCCUUGCUGGCUGUGUGACUCGCUUCCCAACUGGACCACUAUUCCCUAAGUGACUGUACUUGUAACCUUAUUGGAUGUUCAUGGCUGUGGCCCACGUUGUACCCUUGUGGGCUUUACCCUAUAAAACUUCUCUGUGAAGUAGGGUCCUUGGGCUACCCACUUGGGACCCCUCCUGCCCCUAGGAGCUUUCCUG
RNAcentral lists this long non-coding RNA (950 nucleotides) under Heterocephalus glaber (naked mole-rat). Its description in RNAcentral is "lncRNA (ENSHGLG00000046014.1)". The record is from RNAcentral. Lineage: Eukaryota; Metazoa; Chordata; Mammalia; Rodentia; Bathyergidae.